Molecule: ribosomal RNA, 402 nt
Filed under: Verrucomicrobiota bacterium
Lineage: Bacteria; Pseudomonadati; Verrucomicrobiota
Description: Verrucomicrobia bacterium partial 16S ribosomal RNA
Rfam family: Bacterial small subunit ribosomal RNA
Source: RNAcentral
UGGGGAAUUUUGCACAAUGGGGGAAACCCUGAUGCAGCGACGCCGCGUGAUUUAGAAGGCCUUCGGGUUGUAAAAAUCUUUUGUAUGGGAAGAAAAUGACAGUACCAUACGAAUAAGGACCGGCUAAUUACGUGCCAGCAGCCGCGGUAAUACGUAAGGUCCGAGCGUUGUCCGGAAUCAUUGGGCGUAAAGGGUACGUAGGCGGAUAAGCAAGUUAGAAGUGAAAUCCUAUAGCUCAACUAUAGUAAGCUUUUAAAACUGCUCAUCUUGAGGUAUGGAAGGGAAAGUGGAAUUCCUGGUGUAGCGGUGAAAUGCGCAAGUAUUAGGGGGAAUACCGGGUGCGAAGGCGACUUUCUGGCCGUAUACUGACGCUGAAGUACGAAAGCGUGGGUGGCAAACAGG